Non-coding RNA from Cordylochernes scorpioides, 129 nucleotides. The record is from the annotation of a GenBank genome assembly. Lineage: Eukaryota; Metazoa; Arthropoda; Arachnida; Pseudoscorpiones; Chernetidae.
AUGGCCAUACCACGUUGAAAACACCGGUUCUCAUCCAUCACUGAAGUUAAGCAAAUGUCGAGCUUGGUCAGUACUUGGGAAGGUGACAAGGAAUGUACGAAUUUGGCAAAGCUGGUUUUGUUACUGACC